Molecule: long non-coding RNA, 1539 nt
Organism: Panthera uncia (snow leopard)
Lineage: Eukaryota; Metazoa; Chordata; Mammalia; Carnivora; Felidae
Exons: 3
Source: RefSeq, a predicted model, not a curated record
CUUCUCUUUGGACUCAAAAGGAAAUAUUUGUUCUUCCUGCUGGCGUUUGGACUGGAACUACAUCAUCAGCUCUCCUGAUCUUCAGCUUACGAAAUCAGCUUGCAGAUUUUGGAAUUGCCAGCUUCUGUAAUUGGGAAGAAAAAUGGAAAGCUGUGAGGAAGUAAGGUCAUCAUGAGGAGAAAGUCACUGAAGUGCCUCGGCUUCCCUGGACUCUAGAUGCUACAGCAGUGGAGGAAAAAAAAGUCCUCCAAAGCUAGGACUCGGGACUCUCUUCCUUAUGCUUCCUGCCUAACUGGGGUCGAGGAUCUGGGGCCACCCAGACACAGUAAGACUGAGCCCAAAGGUGUCAGCUGGCAAGGAGUUUAAAUCUUCCUCAGGCAUCCUUACAGUUCCUGCAGCUACCUUCUAACCACCUGCCGUGGGCAAUGGAUGAGUCCUGAUCAAUUGUAGCCCAUCUCCAUUUAUUCACGUACGUUUUGGCACGUGUGCAAUUCCUGUAUACCUAAGGCAGUCCAUCUUAUAGAAACAUUUUUGGAGUCUUUUGGGUUUUUUGUCUCUUUUAAAAUAAGUGUUUGAAAUUACAGUUAUGGAUGUCCACAAUUUAACGUCCUCCCACACAUAUUUUAAUUGUAGCUUGUACCUAGGAAGUUCAGAAUCAUAGCGGAAGCAUAUAUGGACAUUGAAAAAAAUUAUGCCGGUAGGGUUGGUUUCCAUAAGAAUAUCUGGAAGGAGAAAUUCUCAACCAAAGAUUCAAGAUUGAUGUUGAACUCUGCCAUAUUUGUCACACUGCAGUUUUUAGAAUUGGAUUUUUCUAGGGGCGCCUGGGUGGCUCAGUCGGUUGAGCUUCUGACUUCAGCUCAGGUCAUGAUCUCACGGUCUGUGAGUUCGAGCCCUGUGUCGGGCUCUGUGCUGACAGCUCAGAGCCUGGAGCCUGCUUCAGAUUCUGUGUCUCCUUCUCUCUCUGACCCUCCCUCAUUCAUACUCUGUCUCUGUCUCAAAAAUAAAAUAAAACAUUAAAAAAAACAAUUUAAGUAGAAUUGGAUUUUUCUAAAUUCCAGACACUCUGAGAUCAUUAUUUCAAACAGCACCCAAAAAUGCAUGGAAAUAGUCUCCUCAUUGUGAGUUAAGUAACAUAGUACAAAAUUGUUCAUAGAAUCGUAUUUAUAUAAUGAGCGCUUAGGUGCGUGAGAAGACAGGUUUUGGAGGUCAUCUGCCCUAGCCUUCUCUGUCACAGAUGGAGGAACUGAUGGCCAAAAAAGGUUCAGUCUCUUCUGAAUGACACUCAGUUUGUGGCAGAGCAUGGACCAAAGUCAAGGUUUUCUGAGUGAAUUCUGUUCACUAUGCCUUCCAUUGAUACUCUAUUAGUUGUAUCACUUUUGAGAACCAGGAGAAAAAUUUCUAAAUGAAAACGCAAACGUUGGUGUUAAAUUAAAACAGCUAACUAAGUUAAAUGUAAAGAUAUAGGAACUCUAUAGUUCGUCUACUCUAUAGUUCGUUAUAGGGUAAUAUAUUUUUAUGACAACACAUAUAAGAUGAUUG